RNAcentral lists this ribosomal RNA (93 nucleotides) under Hygrophorus cossus. Its description in RNAcentral is "partial 5.8S ribosomal RNA". It matches the Rfam family "5.8S ribosomal RNA", at positions 66 to 154 of the family's 154-position model. From Rfam's summary of the family: 5.8S ribosomal RNA (5.8S rRNA) is a component of the large subunit of the eukaryotic ribosome. It is transcribed by RNA polymerase I as part of the 45S precursor that also contains 18S and 28S rRNA. Functionally, it is thought that 5.8S rRNA may be involved in ribosome translocation. Lineage: Eukaryota; Fungi; Basidiomycota; Agaricomycetes; Agaricales; Hygrophoraceae. The record is from RNAcentral.
UGUGAAUUGCAGAAUUCAGUGAAUCAUCGAAUCUUUGAACGCACCUUGCGCUCCUUGGUAUUCCGAGGAGCAUGUCUGUUUGAGUAUCAUUAA